Molecule: long non-coding RNA, 676 nt
Organism: Oncorhynchus masou masou (cherry salmon)
Lineage: Eukaryota; Metazoa; Chordata; Actinopteri; Salmoniformes; Salmonidae
Exons: 4
Source: RefSeq, a predicted model, not a curated record
CGGGCCGCCCCCAGGUGGUAAGGGGGAAGCUAUUCCAUCACACCUUGUGACACAGCAAAAAUUCCCCAAACUUCUGAAUUAAUGGCGGACUGAAAUCCCUGCUUGGGAAAAAGCUUUCCAGAGGAACGAGGAUUAACUUUGUAAAAUGGACAGAUUUCACUCUAUCACUGGCUUGUCAGGACAAAACAGUCGAGCCCAACUGGUUUAGAGGUGAAAAUCAUCACUCCUUAAUCAGUCAACAAUCAUCAAUCAGAAGACACACCUCCUCCUGUUUCCUACCCAAUCACAGUUCCUUUCCCUUGGUUUAAAAACCCCAUCAGUUGUUUGCUCUAGAGCUCAAUCUUUCUGUAAAUGACAUGUCUGUAGGUCACUCUUGUUGUGUAUUAACCUCGCUUUUGUUUGAGCACCUUCAUAGCACUUUGUCAUCACCUGUGAGUAUUGUUUUGGUUAUGGUGUUUGAUUGCUGGUGGGAAAAGGGGAAACCAAGACAAGUCGCCCAUGGGCAUACACUACCCGUAGGUAAACUUUUAAAUACACUAGUUAGAACUGGGCGGACCACCCACUGUAUUUUUGGUUAGUUAGUUGUUAAAGUAGGCUAGUCUAGCUUAGGGGUGUUUUUGAAUACUUAUUGUUCCUUUCCCUGGGUCCAGCUCAGCCCCUUUCCCUGCUCCCCCCA